This 1030-nucleotide ribosomal RNA is filed under the name Escherichia coli. RNAcentral's name for it is "partial 23S ribosomal RNA". It matches the Rfam family "Bacterial large subunit ribosomal RNA", at positions 862 to 1875 of the family's 2925-position model. Lineage: Bacteria; Pseudomonadati; Pseudomonadota; Gammaproteobacteria; Enterobacterales; Enterobacteriaceae. The record is from RNAcentral.
AAAGCUAUUUAGGUAGCGCCUCGUGAAUUCAUCUCCGGGGGUAGAGCACUGUUUCGGCAAGGGGGUCAUCCCGACUUACCAACCCGAUGCAAACUGCGAAUACCGGAGAAUGUUAUCACGGGAGACACACGGCGGGUGCUAACGUCCGUCGUGAAGAGGGAAACAACCCAGACCGCCAGCUAAGGUCCCAAAGUCAUGGUUAAGUGGGAAACGAUGUGGGAAGGCCCAGACAGCCAGGAUGUUGGCUUAGAAGCAGCCAUCAUUUAAAGAAAGCGUAAUAGCUCACUGGUCGAGUCGGCCUGCGCGGAAGAUGUAACGGGGCUAAACCAUGCACCGAAGCUGCGGCAGCGACACUAUGUGUUGUUGGGUAGGGGAGCGUUCUGUAAGCCUGUGAAGGUGGCCUGUGAGGGUUGCUGGAGGUAUCAGAAGUGCGAAUGCUGACAUAAGUAACGAUAAAGCGGGUGAAAAGCCCGCUCGCCGGAAGACCAAGGGUUCCUGUCCAACGUUAAUCGGGGCAGGGUGAGUCGACCCCUAAGGCGAGGCCGAAAGGCGUAGUCGAUGGGAAACAGGUUAAUAUUCCUGUACUUGGUGUUACUGCGAAGGGGGGACGGAGAAGGCUAUGUUGGCCGGGCGACGGUUGUCCCGGUUUAAGCGUGUAGGCUGGUUUUCCAGGCAAAUCCGGAAAACCAAGGCUGAGGCGUGAUGACGAGGCACUACGGUGCUGAAGCGACAAAUGCCCUGCUUCCAGGAAAAGCCUCUAAGCAUCAGGUAACAUCAAAUCGUACCCCAAACCGACACAGGUGGUCAGGUAGAGAAUACCAAGGCGCUUGAGAGAACUCGGGUGAAGGAACUAGGCAAAAUGGUGCCGUAACUUCGGGAGAAGGCACGCUGAUAUGUAGGUGAAGCGACUUGCUCGUGGAGCUGAAAUCAGUCGAAGAUACCAGCUGGCUGCAACUGUUUAUUAAAAACACAGCACUGUGCAAACACGAAAGUGGACGUAUACGGUGUGACGCCUGCCCGGUGCCGGAAG